GGUAAGGUCACGUUUAUCCGAAGCUUCAAGAUACAGACUGUCAGAACGUAAUUGUGCAGCUUCUUGACCUUGAAGUGACAAAUGUAAUUUACAACUGUUGGACACCGAAUGUUUAACUCGAUCAAACUGGCGUUUGCGGGCUUCGCUAUCGACUCGUGAGUUGCGACGAUUUCUGCGACUUCUUGGCACCCUUACGCUCGGAGGACUUGAAACAAACUUGAGCUCCUGCAGGU
Schizosaccharomyces pombe (fission yeast) is the source of this 233-nucleotide non-coding RNA. The record is from the annotation of a GenBank genome assembly. Lineage: Eukaryota; Fungi; Ascomycota; Schizosaccharomycetes; Schizosaccharomycetales; Schizosaccharomycetaceae.